UACAGAGGGGGCAAGCGUUGUUCGGAAUUACUGGGCGUAAAGGGCGCGUAGGCGGCCCACUAAGUCGAACGUGAAAUCCCCGAGCUCAACUCGGGAACUGCGUCCGAUACUGGUGGGCUUGAAUCCGGGAGAGGGAUGCGGAAUUCCAGGUGUAGCGGUGAAAUGCGUAGAUAUCUGGAGGAACACCGGUGGCGAAGGCGGCAUCCUGGACCGGCAUUGACGCUGAGGCGCGAAAGCCAGGGGAGCAAAGCGGG
RNAcentral lists this ribosomal RNA (254 nucleotides) under uncultured bacterium. RNAcentral describes it as "partial 16S ribosomal RNA". It matches the Rfam family "Bacterial small subunit ribosomal RNA", at positions 524 to 777 of the family's 1533-position model. The record is from RNAcentral.